GACGAACGCUGGCGGCGCGCCUAACACAUGCAAGUCGAACGAGCGAGAGAGAGCUUACUUUCUCAAGCGAGUGGCGAACGGGUGAGUAACGCGUGAGGAACCUGCCUCAAAGAGGGGGACAACAGUUGGAAACGACUGCUAAUACCGCAUAAGCCCACAGGUCGGCAUCGACCAGAGGGAAAGGAGCAAUCCGCUUUGAGAUGGCCUCGCGUCCGAUUAGCUGGUUGGUGAGGUAACGGCCCACCAAGGCGACGAUCGGUAGCCGGACUGAGAGGUUGAACGGCCACAUUGGGACUGAGACACGGCCCAG
Molecule: ribosomal RNA, 310 nt
Filed under: uncultured bacterium
Lineage: Bacteria
Description: bacterial SSU rRNA
Rfam family: Bacterial small subunit ribosomal RNA
Source: RNAcentral